RNAcentral lists this transfer RNA (75 nucleotides) under bacterium. Its description in RNAcentral is "tRNA-Glu". It matches the Rfam family "tRNA". From Rfam's summary of the family: Transfer RNA (tRNA) molecules are approximately 80 nucleotides in length. Their secondary structure includes four short double-helical elements and three loops (D, anti-codon, and T loops). Further hydrogen bonds mediate the characteristic L-shaped molecular structure. tRNAs have two regions of fundamental functional importance: the anti-codon, which is responsible for specific mRNA codon recognition, and the 3' end, to which the tRNAs corresponding amino acid is attached (by aminoacyl-tRNA synthetases). tRNAs cope with the degeneracy of the genetic code in two manners: having more than one tRNA (with a specific anti-codon) for a particular amino acid; and 'wobble' base-pairing, i.e. permitting non-standard base-pairing at the 3rd anti-codon position. RNAcentral also lists the same sequence under 1 other name. The record is from RNAcentral.
GCGGCCAUCGUCUAGAGGUUAGGACUCCUGGUUUUCAUCCAGGCAGCCGGGGUUCGAUUCCCCGUGGCCGUACCA